UGAAUUCAACCAACAAGAUAAUGCAAAACAUCACAAAUUAUGCCUCUUUAAAUUACAUAAACAUGUGAAUAUAUAUGCAACAAUAAAAAUACCCAAAACAAUUCAAUACAUAAAACUAGAAUUAAUAUCCACAAACAAUUCUCAAAAUACCAAAUCCAUCAAUCCCUAAGGAAGAAUUGCUCUAUGGAUAUGGAGUAAUUCAUUAUAAUUAAUUUUAAAGUAGAAAAAAACAUAAAAUAAUCCAAAUCCUUAUCUUGAGUUGGGAUUGAAUGAUGGAAUCCUUGUGCUCUUCCUUUUCCAACUUCUUCUUAGCCUCCUUAGGUCUUAGAUGUGUCAAAAGUCCUCAAAAUACCAUUUUUCUAUGUAUAUAUACCAAAAAAUCAUCUUUAGGACUGAAAUAGGUGCUAAACAAGUAGUUCAAGUGGGACGUUAAUGUCAUAUACAAAGUCAGUAAAAUAAUAGGAUUUUGGACUUACAUGUACAAGUCGGGAUCGCUUACUAACAAACGAUUUUUCAUCAUGACCAUGUGUAUGGACGUGCAAGUGUAGCUCACUUGGUGUUGGAUCUCGACCCUUUUCAAUAGCCUAUACAAAAAACAAAGAACUUAUCCUUUGAUAAGGUGAAACAGUUUACUAAUGGAGGUACUAAGAAGGUAUACACCAGUACACAUUUAUUGAAUGUCACGUAGGUUCUUGGUUUACCAUUUGAUAAGUGUAGCUGCAAAAUCCAGUUUAGUUCUGUGCUUCCUAUUUUAUAUUUGGACUUUUUGAUUGAACUCAGCUUAUGUUAUGUGUAGGAAUCAACUAUUGGUGCAGCAUUUUUCUCGCAAACAGUAGCAGUAAAUGAUGCUACUGUAAAAUUUAAAAUAUGCGACACAUCAGGCCAAGAGAGAUACCACAGUCUUGCUCCAAUGUAUUAAAGAGGAGCUGGAGCUGCUAUAAUUGUUUAUGAUAUCACAAAUCAAGUAACUUUCUCACCUGAUUCCAACUAUUCACUAUAAUUACUCGAUAUUGCUCUGAAAAUUUUUGCUAGCAUGUGAACUUGUUAACUUAGUUUCUCAAUUCUUUAUUUAUAGGCAUCAUUUGAUAGAGCAAAAAGGUGGGUUCAGGAGCUUCAGGUGAAAAAGUGGCUUCAGGUGAAAAAGUAAGUUACUGCUCCUCCGUUCCACUCAACCUAUUAAAAAGCUGAAAUAUGUGUACUGAAUUCUAGUGAUUACCCCUUACGAAGAAAUACUUACAAGUCUCUUGCGAUGUUCCCCAAUGGUGACAGAGUCACCCGUGUGAGUCCUAAUGGUGAUGGCAGUCCCACCGCCACAACGAUAUUUUGUAUUUAUUUCUGAUUUUUUGACACACUUAGGAUCCUUCCAUAGUUCCAUCCAAUUGUCCCACACAUCUUUUGGAACAAAAUCUGGUUGAACUAUAUCCUUAUCUUUUCUUUUUUUUUGCAUAUAAAAUCACAGUACCUUCUCGCUGCCUUACUUCCCCAUAGGCGCUUCACUUCUCUGUCAAUCAAAGCAGUCUCAAAAGCAGGACAAAACAGCGUGAAAGUUCAGCAACAAUGUAGAGUUUUGUAGCACUUCACCUUGAAGAAAUUGGAAACCACGCAGAUCUCAAAACACCUAAAUUUGAUUUUAAUAACCAAAUAUCACCAAAAUUGGUAUUAAUCAAGAGUUCAACACAAAAGAAACCCCCAAAUCAGAUUUUACCAACAAUAAAUAGUAAUAACAAUACAUAUUUAUGCACAAAUGAGAUAUACCCAAAAUAUGUCAACCUCUACUUCAUAUUUAACUUCACAUACUACAAAGAAAAAGGGGGAAGAGACGAAAGCUUGAUUUAUUUUACAUCUACCAAAGCCCUAAAAAUUUUAAUGUAGAAAAAUUGCUAAUAAACAGAUAAAGAAGCAGAGACAUACCAGUAUUUUAGAAAAGAGUUGAUGUAGUAACGCAUCUGGAAAAAUUAAUGGAAGAUUAGAGGAGAAGAAGAAGAAGCAAAUGGGGUGGUUUCUUAGUGUAUUCUUGUGUGAGAAAGAAAGACCUUAUUUUUUAGAAAGGGGCUGGUUUUUCACUAAAGCAGAACACUUAUUUUGACGCAACUCUUUUUCCCUGAAUACCUAGCGACAAAAACUUUCCGUAGCAACAAGGGUAAAGAUACUCUCAUUAAUGAAAAAUAUUAGCGACAUACACACUUCGUC
RNAcentral lists this long non-coding RNA (2190 nucleotides) under Nicotiana tabacum (common tobacco). Its description in RNAcentral is "long non-coding RNA (NTAB_LNC015143)". The record is from RNAcentral. Lineage: Eukaryota; Viridiplantae; Streptophyta; Magnoliopsida; Solanales; Solanaceae.